Molecule: ribosomal RNA, 274 nt
Filed under: Escherichia coli
Lineage: Bacteria; Pseudomonadati; Pseudomonadota; Gammaproteobacteria; Enterobacterales; Enterobacteriaceae
Description: partial 16S ribosomal RNA
Rfam family: Bacterial small subunit ribosomal RNA
Source: RNAcentral
GCGCAACCCUUGUUAUUAGUUGCCAGCAUUAAGUUGGGCACUCUAAUGAGACUGCCGGUGACAAACCGGAGGAAGGUGGGGAUGACGUCAAGUCAUCAUGCCCCUUAUGACCUGGGCUACACACGUGCUACAAUGGGCAGUACAACGAGAAGCGAGCCUGCGAAGGCAAGCGAAUCUCUGAAAGCUGUUCUCAGUUCGGACUGCAGUCUGCAACUCGACUGCACGAAGCUGGAAUCGCUAGUAAUCGCGGAUCAGCACGCCGCGGUGAAUACGU